Molecule: ribosomal RNA, 57 nt
Filed under: Lactarius aurantiacus
Lineage: Eukaryota; Fungi; Basidiomycota; Agaricomycetes; Russulales; Russulaceae
Description: partial 18S ribosomal RNA
Source: RNAcentral
UUAAGAAGGUAAAGUUSGUACCAGGGUUUCGUUAGUGACCUGGCGGAGGGAUCAUUA